UUAUACGACCCCAAAAAAAUUUUGUGGUCGUAUAUUGGUAUGACGUUGGCGUCGUUGUCGUCGUCGUCGUCGUCGUCGUCGUCGUCGUCCGGCGUCGUCGUCGUCCGGCGUCGUCGUCCGAAUACAUACUGGUUUUCGCACUCUAACUUUAGUUUAAGUGAAUGGAUCUUUUUGAAAUUUGACCAUAAGGUUAAAUACCACAAAAGGAAGGUUGGGAUUGAUUUUGGGGGUUAUGGUACCAACAGUUAAGGAAUUAGGGGCCAAAAAUAAGCAUUUUCUAGUUUCCAGACAAUAACUGUGGAACGGUGUAUGGAUCUCUCUGAAAUUAUACUACAAGUUUCCAUACCACAAAGGGAUGGUUAGGAUUUGCUUUGGGGGGUUAUGGCUCAAACCGUUUAGGAAUUAGGGGCAAAAAAGGGGGAAAAACAAGGUUGUCCUGGUUAAUGGACAAAUACUUUUGUACAAAACAUAAUUUAAAGCAGUGUAAGGGAGAUAAAUCAAAUACAUCAUUGAGAUUAUCUCCCUUACACUGCUUUUAAAUUAUGUAUAAAGUAAUGGUUAAUGAACAAUAAAGAUAAUUUAAAACAGUGUAAGGGAGGUAAUCAAAAUACAACGUUUUGGUUACUUCCCUUACACUGCUUUUAAAUUAUGUUUAAAGAAAUGCAUAUCUAUAAAGGAAGACCAGUAAAAAUAUCUGCAAAUGUUACAUCUUUUUUUUUUACAAAAAAAUCCAUAUGAAAGAUUUGACAGUAUAUUUUUAAUUCUAUUAUAAAAUAGAUUAAGUUAGCACUAUGGUAAAUUUAAAUGGGUAAUUAUGGUUGCCAACUCCAUUGGAAAUUUGAAUUGAGAUUAUGACCAUAUCUUGAGGGAAAGAAUUUUUUUGGGGAAAAAAGGGGGGGAUAAAAAGAAAUUGUGGGGGGUCAAUUUUUUCUCAUUUCAGAUUUCAGAAUUUAAAAAGAAUUAUUCUUCAAAUAUUAUUUUUUUUUCAAAUUUCAAAUAUUGAAAAAUUUCAAGAAGUAAUCUUUAAUUGCACAGUAUGGCGCAUUAGAUUUGUAAAAUCUUUGAUCACAUUUAUUUAUUUGUUAUGCCGAAUCUAACAGUGUAUUUAAAUUUUUAAUUUUGGGUCCAGUUUUCAAAUUGGUCUACAUUAAGGUCCAAAGGGUCCAAAAUUAAACUUUGUUUGAUUUUAGCAAAAAUUGAAUAUAUGAGGUUCUUUGAUAUGCUGAAUCUAACCAUGUAUUUAGAUUUUUGAUUAUAGGCCCAGUUUUCAAGUUGGUCCAAAUUGGGGUCCAAAUUUAAACUUUGUUUGAUUUCAACAAAAAUUGAAUAUAUGAGGUUCUUUGAUAUGCUGAAUCUAACUAUUAUUUAGAUUUUUUAUUUGUGGGCCCCGCUAUCAAAUUGGUUCAUAUUGAGGUCAAAAGGGUCCAAAAUUAAACUUUGUUUGAUUUCAUCAAAAAUUGAAUUAUUGGGGUUCUUUGAUAUACCAAAUCUAACCGUGUUUUUAGAUUUUUAAUUUGGGUCCCGUUUUUUAAAUUGGUCUUCAUUGAGGUCCAAAGGGUCCAAAAUUAAACUUAGUUUGAUUUUAACAAAAAUUGAAUUCUUGGGGUUCUUUGAUAUGCUUAAUCUAAACAUGUGUUUAGAUUUUUGAUUAUGGGCCCAGUUUUCAAGUUGGUCCAA
This is a long non-coding RNA of Mytilus californianus (California mussel), 1677 nucleotides long. RefSeq lists it as uncharacterized. The record is from RefSeq and is a predicted model, not a curated record. NCBI's taxonomy places the organism in Eukaryota, Metazoa, Mollusca, Bivalvia, Mytilida, Mytilidae. The transcript is spliced from 2 exons.